This 253-nucleotide ribosomal RNA is filed under the name uncultured bacterium. RNAcentral describes it as "partial 16S ribosomal RNA". It matches the Rfam family "Bacterial small subunit ribosomal RNA", at positions 524 to 776 of the family's 1533-position model. The record is from RNAcentral.
GACAGAGGGUGCAAACGUUGUUCGGAAUUACUGGGCGUAAAGCGCGUGUAGGCGGCAUGACAAGUCGGAUGUGAAAGCCCUGGGCUCAACCCAGGAAGUGCAUUCGAUACUGCCGUGCUAGAGUCCCGGAGAGGGUGGUGGAACUCUCGGUGUAGAGGUGAAAUUCGUAGAUAUCGAGAAGAACACCGGUGGCGAAGGCGGCCACCUGGACGGUGACUGACGCUGAGGAGCGAAAGCGUGGGGAGCGAACAGG